GACGAACGCUGGCGGCGUGCUUAACACAUGCAAGUCGAACGGAAAGGCCCUGCUUUUGUGGGGUGCUCGAGUGGCGAACGGGUGAGUAACCCGUGAUUAACCUGCCCUUGACUUUGGGUUAACUUCGGGAAACUGGGGCUAAUACCGGAUAGGAGCUCCGGCGGCAUGGUGGGGGUUGGAAAGUUUCGGCGGUUGGGGAUGGACUCGCGGCUUAUCAGCUUGUUGGUGGGGUAGUGGCUUACCAAGGCUUUGACGGGUAGCCGGCCUGAGAGGGUGACCGGCCACAUUGGGACUGAGAUACGGCCCAGACUCCUACGGGAGGCAGCAGUGGGGAAUAUUGCACAAUGGGCGGAAGCCUGAUGCAGCAACGCCGCGUGCGGGAUGACGGCCUUCGGGUUGUAAACCGCUUUCGCCUGUGACGAAGCGUGAGUGACGGUAAUGGGUAAAGAAGCACCGGCUAACUACGUG
This 468-nucleotide ribosomal RNA is filed under the name uncultured bacterium. Its description in RNAcentral is "partial 16S ribosomal RNA". It matches the Rfam family "Bacterial small subunit ribosomal RNA", at positions 28 to 507 of the family's 1533-position model. The record is from RNAcentral.